CGUGAAGAAACGCGAAGGAAGGGGACCAGGCUAAUGAACUCUACUGCCGGCCCGGGGAGAAGGCGAAUGUAGCACAUUCUGUCCCUGACCUUGUGCAGUUUGCAUACUCAGAGCACGGGAGGAAAACCAUGAACAGUGUAAAGUCAGUAGCCGCUUUGGACCCAUGUCCGUUAAGCAGCACAAACAAGGCAACUUUGCAGGAACUAAAGGAAGAGUUGUACAGAGGGCACACCCAGAGGAUGUCAGAGGUUGAAAAGCCUGAGCCAUCGGCUUCAAGCCCAACUCUUCUAUUUGCAAACAGGUGCAUGCUCUCUGGGUUCGACAUCCAACAUGGGCCUCACUGGACUCAACUCAAGAUGCCAGUGGGGCUGCAUUCCUUUCUGGAGGUUUCCUGCAUUCCUUGGCUCGUGGCCCCUUUCCAUCUUCAAAGUCAGCUGCAUGGAUGAGCCCUUCUCACAUCACAGCCCCUGACCUCCUGUGCCUCCUCCCUUCCACUCUCAGGGACCUUUGUGAUCACCUUUGGCCCAGCUGGAAAAUUUGGAUACUCUCCCUAUGUUAAGCUCAGCUGAUGACCGGCCUUAAUUCCACCUGCCACGUACAUUUCACUCUGUCAUGUAUCAUAACAUAUUCAUAAGUUCCAGGA
Suricata suricatta (meerkat) is the source of this 643-nucleotide long non-coding RNA. RefSeq lists it as uncharacterized. The record is from RefSeq and is a predicted model, not a curated record. NCBI's taxonomy places the organism in Eukaryota, Metazoa, Chordata, Mammalia, Carnivora, Herpestidae. The transcript is spliced from 5 exons.